UACGUAGACCUCAAGCGUUAUCCGGAUUUAUUGGGCGUAAAGCGCGUGUAGGAGGUUUUGCGCGUCUUUGGUUAAAGCCUGCGGCCUAACCGCAGAUCUGCCAGAGAUACGGCAAGACUAGAGGAAAUCAGAGGUGCAUGGAACGCACGGUGUAGGGGUGAAAUCCGUUGAUAUCGUGCGGAACACCAAAGGCGAAGGCAGUGCACUGGGAUUCUCCUGACUCUGAGACGCGAAAGCGUGGGGAGCAAAAAGG
Molecule: ribosomal RNA, 253 nt
Filed under: uncultured bacterium
Lineage: Bacteria
Description: partial 16S ribosomal RNA
Rfam family: Bacterial small subunit ribosomal RNA
Source: RNAcentral